CUAAUACAUGCAAGUAGAACGCUGACUACUUUAGCUUGCUAGAGUAGAAGGAGUUGCGAACGGGUGAGUAACGCGUAGGUAACCUGCCUACUAGCGGGGGAUAACUAUUGGAAACGAUAGCUAAUACCGCAUAACAGUGUUUAACACAUGUUAGAUGCUUGAAAGAUGCAAUUGCAUCACUAGUAGAUGGACCUGCGUUGUAUUAGCUAGUUGGUGGGGUAACGGCCCACCAAGGCGACGAUACAUAGCCGACCUGAGAGGGUGAUCGGCCACACUGGGACUGAGACACGGCCCAGACUCCUACGGGAGGCAGCAGUAGGGAAUCUUCGGCAAUGGGGGCAACCCUGACCGAGCAACGCCGCGUGAGUGAAGAAGGUUUUCGGAUCGUAAAGCUCUGUUGUAAGAGAAGAACGUGUGUGAGAGUGGAAAGUUCACACAGUGACGGUAACUUACCAGAAAGGGACGGCUAACUACGUGCCAGCAGCCGCGGUAAUACGUAGGUCCCGAGCGUUGUCCGGAUUUAUUGGGCGUAAAGCGAGCGCAGGCGGUUUAAUAAGUCUGAAGUUAAAGGCAGUGGCUUAACCAUUGUUCGCUUUGGAAACUGUUAAACUUGAGUGCAGAAGGGGAGAGUGGAAUUCCAUGUGUAGCGGUGAAAUGCGUAGAUAUAUGGAGGAACACCGGUGGCGAAAGCGGCUCUCUGGUCUGU
RNAcentral lists this ribosomal RNA (706 nucleotides) under uncultured Bacilli bacterium. Its description in RNAcentral is "bacterial SSU rRNA". It matches the Rfam family "Bacterial small subunit ribosomal RNA", at positions 48 to 737 of the family's 1533-position model. Lineage: Bacteria; Bacillati; Bacillota; Bacilli. The record is from RNAcentral.